AAGGCAGAGACACGGAGAUCUUCCAUCUGCUGGCUCACUCUUCCAGCACCUGCAACAGCCAGGGCUGGACCAGGCUGCAGCCAAGAGCCCAGAACUCCAUCCGGGUCCCCCACAUGGGUGGCAGAGACCCAAGAACUGGAGCCUGGAGCCAUUGUCUGCUGCCUCCCACAGUGUGCAGUCGCAGGAAGCUGGAAAGAGGAGCAGAGCCAGGAACCAAACCCAGGCACUGAUCCAGGACGCGAGUGUCGUAACUGCGGGCCAAACGCUCAGCCCCAGAACUCACUCCUGACUGCGGUUCUGCUCCCUCUAGCUUCCUCCCACAGCUUUGCACAGUGCACAGGACAGCAGCUUGAGCCCGAGGGGGCAAGAGUGGCAGGCACCCCCGAGACCUGUGCCAGAGAGGCACCGAAAAGGAGGGCGUCGCUGAGGUCUACCGUGCCUUCAGACUUGGAAAUGCCAGACUCCACCCGUGCCAAACUGCCUCUUGUCCUCUGGUCAUCUUGAUGCCUCUUGAAGACACGGAAGUCCACCUGGAAGUCCCCGGCCCCUCAUCCCCACAUGGACCCCCAAGUUCCUUCUUCCCUCUGAGAACGGAGUUGAGGAACCAUCUCCUACUGUGAGUGUGCAUACCUUACUGUCCAGUGCCUUCCCGACACUUAAGUUACUUCCUCCCUUGGACCCUCCCAGCUCUUGUUAGAGUUCUCACUGACCUGACCGCAUCUGCUCUCAGUGACGGUCUGCGACCCUGUUCUCCUGGAGUUCUCUUUAAGGUUCUCCCUUCUUUCUGUUUGCCUCAGGUAUAUCCACAGAGCAGAACACCUGAUCUUAGAUUUUCCUGCCAUUUCUUGGCCAAAGGUCUGUGAUGGGAAUGAGGACUUACAGAGUAAGCUUUGAUGGGGCCCUCAAUUCUGGCAACUCAUAUUUGCUCCUGUCCUCACCGCUGAUGAGCAGGUGAAAUCCUCCCGCUAGCCAGUAUGAAGCUAGGAGUCUUCGUGAAGCUUGAAGUCUGCGAACCUAAGCUGAAGUUGAGGUUCACAUUUGAGAACUUGAGGGUGACGGUAGCAGACGCCACGUGGCAUGUCCAUAUUGCCAUACGAUAUUAAGAUUAACCCAGUCUGCCAGAGUACGUUGACCCCCAGAUUAAAAGACAUUUUGUGUCCUCCUUGUCACCUGUCUGGGAGGUGAGUGGUUCAUUCCUAAGGAAGCAUGUCUUAGAAAGUGGAAUUGAACUUAGAAGGAGAAAUGUUCUUUGAUUCUUACUCAUGCCUUAAUGGAUGCAAUAUGCAUUGGUUUUGCCCAGGCACGUUAUGGACCAGUGUGGGCAAAGAGCAAAUAUGAAUGCAUGUAGCCUAGAUGGCAACAGAGCCCUCAUGCCUCCUAUUAGCAUAUCACCCAGCCCAGCUGGCUGCAAAGACUACAUCUAAUGUUAAAGAGCCCCACCCUCACCUGUCGGCCAGGACACAAGUCCCUUCUGCAACAUCUCUCAUCUCCAUAUUACUAAUCUAGGCAUAAAGAAUAGUGUUCACACUGAAAUUUUAAAUUCCAGAUUAUCCUUGAUCCAAACACAGCCUGCCUGUCAUGCGGCAACCUUGCCCUCAUCCCUCAUGUGGGACCCUCAUUCCUUCUCACCAUGCCUCUCAGUUUCCACUCACCUCUCUGCAAGAGCUGAGCUGCCAUGACAAUUAGCUCUUUGAGAAAUCCUUGUGCCAGGCACCAGACGAAACAGAAAGCAAGACAAAUCAGGGCCUGUCCUCCUGAAGUUCACAGUCGAAUAACAGAAUCUGUAGAGAUAACACACUUUCCUUCCAACAGUUUGGGUCCAUUCUGACAUCAGGCAUUUUCUGUGUGGUGCUUACAUACAGAAUUCACUGUAUGUGACACAGUCAUAGCCUGGCUGGGGGUGCGGGCAGGGGCAUAUGGCUUACGGUAAUUUGAGCUGCGGUCGGGAGCGGUCAUUUGGCCUGACAGUUAAGCCCCAGUUAAGAUGCUGAUGUCCUGUUCUGUGGGGCCUGACGUGAACAUCCACCUCUGCCUCUUGACCCCAGCUUUCUGCUAAUGUACACCCUGGGAGGCGGCAGUGAUGGCUCAAGUAAUUGGCUCCUGCCACCCAUGGGAUUGAGUUUCUGCUUUGUGGUUUGAGAUCAUCCCAGUGCGGACUCUUGUGAGCAUUUGGGGGGUAAACCAGCACAUGGGAGCUCUGUCUCAGAGAGAAAGUGAGCGAGAGGGAGAGAGAGGGGCAGCUGAAGGCCUUUAGAAAAGCCCAGCUAGGUGUGCACCAGAACUCUCAGUCUGAGUCUUCCUCGGACCUGUGCUGGGGCUGGAGCUCUAGCAGUGCACCGAGAGGGGCCUUGUGUUCAGUGGCACCAGCAGAGGCUUGGGAGCGCUCCUGAGAGCAGUGUUGUACUUGUUGUUCUUCGUGUGAUCCUCACAGCUAGUCUAGGUCGGUUCCAGUACACAGUGGCCUAGAUAUAAACCGCUCAGGAAGGAAGCAGCAGAGCUGGGCUCAAACCCGGAACUCCCAUCUCCAGGGGGGAAUUUCGUCAGAGACCACUGGGCGAAAGGGUGCAGCGUGUCCGGGUCAGACAGGGGGACAGGCUACGCACUCCCUUUCCCACCCUUUUCCCAUCUUCCUUCUUCCCCAGGAACAGCAGUGGCUGAGCAAACAGUCCGGUUGAACAGGGGGAAGAGGUGGAGGGUGGGGAACAGGCUGGCAUUCUGCACCUGGGAGCAAAGCAUAAUCCGUUUAGCAAUGGCAAGAACAGAGAGAAGGAUCUGUCUUCUCAGUGCCAGCAACCUUCAGAUAUCAAAAAUAAGGUGGCAGUUUUCAGAUUACCCCCAGGUGGUUGGGAUUUGAAAUUUAUCCUGAAUAUAGUGUUGUCUGAAUGGGGGCACUAAGUCUUCCUGUGAAUCAUAUGGUAUGGCACAGGAUACUAGAGAAUACUUGAGGGCAAAUGUGUGCAAAUAUCUGUGUGUAUCUAUUUAUGUGCAUGUGAGUCUGUGCAUGUAUGUAGACCAUGUAGUCACACAUGCACACGUACUCAUUUCAGCAUAAUGCUGGCUGUUUCUCUUUUACAGCUCAGUAGAGCAGUUAUUCAAGCAUCUCUCAUUUGCCAGGUACAGUGUUAGGCACUAAAGGGGACAGAAAGAAAAACUGGGCAUGGUUUCUACUUUCAAAAAGCUUUUAGUAUGCUGCAUUUAAUUUGCCCUACUAGAGUUUUAAAUUCGACCUCACAGCGAUAUUAGGAGCUUGAGGUCUCUUCAAGGAGUUCGGAAUAACAAAAGGAACACAACAGCAGGACUUCCGCUCAACCAGCACAGAUUCUGUACUCAUCCUAGCUAAAUGAGGGAUAGGUGACCAAGCACAAUACUGAGUCGUGGGCUAUGCCCAAGUUUGAAAUACUAGGAGAGAUCCAUCACCAGCGCAAUUAUGGCAAAAAUUUAAUGCCAGGGACUACAGUUUAACAUGCAGUCAUUUCCAUUCUCGCUCUUCCAGAUUCCAGGCAAAAAUCUCAUUUGUAAAAGAAUUCAAUUAUCUUAAUUUGGAAAAGACUAAAGGAAGAUGUGGUGGCUGUCUUCAAAUAUUUAAGAUCUUUCCAUGUUGCUGUACAACCAAGACCAAUGGACAGAAGUCACAGAGGCCAAUUUUAGCUCAAAUAAGGAAGGAUUUAUGAGUUGCCUCAGAGAUAAUGAGCUCCCCAGCACAGGAAGGAUACAAGCAGAUGGAUGGCCAUCUGCCAGGACUGCCGCAGAGGGUACUCCAGCAGUACAUUAGGAGGCUGAAUGAGCUACCUUCCGUCUCUAAAUUCUUAGAUUCUCAGUCUGUCUCCUUGGCCCCAGGCUAAAAGUAUAUCUGAAUCUUUGGAGAAAUGUCCCACUAUCUGUUGAAAGUAAAAACUUGCCUGAUGUAUUUGGGCCUUUUUCUGUAGAUGCAUGGAUACUUUUCUUUAAAUAAAGUGAAGAUACUUAAUACUAGGACA
Molecule: long non-coding RNA, 3977 nt
Filed under: Oryctolagus cuniculus (rabbit)
Lineage: Eukaryota; Metazoa; Chordata; Mammalia; Lagomorpha; Leporidae
Description: lncRNA (ENSOCUG00000036881.1)
Source: RNAcentral